Pieris napi is the source of this 1404-nucleotide long non-coding RNA. RefSeq lists it as uncharacterized. The transcript has 3 exons. NCBI's taxonomy places the organism in Eukaryota, Metazoa, Arthropoda, Insecta, Lepidoptera, Pieridae. The record is from RefSeq and is a predicted model, not a curated record.
UAGAUGAUGAAUAUUUUACCAGGCUGCAAAUACGAAAAAAAUUUAACUACAGCCACAGAUUACACCAUUUAUUUAUUUGGGUAUCACUUUUCAAUAUUACGCACACAAACAAUCAAAGAUGAGUUCAACAACAAUAAAGAGAACAAUGGUAUGUUAAAAUAAACACUAAAACAAAAGUUAAUAAAUACGAGUCAAAAUAUACGAACUAUUCUAGAUUUAAUGGUGAAAGAACAUCUGUUGUGUGCACUGGUCGUUGGAUUUUUAGAAAUGGGUGCUGGUCUUGUGGUUAUAUUUGGAGCGCUAAUAUUCUCUGCAUUUUGGUCGUAUAAAUUCUUUAACGCUAUUUAUACUGCAACAAAACGUAACAUGACUUCAACGACGUACAGUACAGUACCCGUUACAACAGCUAUACCUUUUAGAAGAGAAUACAUAGAGUAUAUUGACUAAUUAUACUCUAGGAAAGAGUACCUUAUUUGUUUUGUGGAUUAUACAAUCACAAUGGACAAUUCCUACUAACUGGUGUAAUGGUGUUCAGCUUAUAUUUAAUACUACAUCAGGCGAAAAGGAGCAUGCUUUCUGAUGAUGACUAUUCAUGGGACAAUGAAGACACUAACUGGUUUGUUAAUACCACUACUGAAAUUACGCAGAAGAUACUCAAGAUAAACCAAGCUUAAAUACAAAAAUUAAAUGUAGGUAUUAAUAAGCCAAUAACUAUAUAAACGAAAUGAUAAUAAUCUAAAGAAAAAAAUGGAUUAAUUAAUAAUUUUAACUAUAAAAUAGCAUGUAGCUUAUUUCUAUUAUUAAAUUCAGAAAUGCAAUAAAACUCAUUGAUUUAAUUAUGUUUUAUUUUUCUUACAUCAGAGCCAUAUUAGCCCGUUCUGUUAAUUACAUUGGAAUUCCAGUGCCACAAUUUGAAAAAAGCACCGAAAUAUGCAAUUUUAUCCUUUUUUUUGUCAUAUUUCCACGAGUAAAUAAUUAUUUUUAUAUCGCCUUGUACUUUAAGUAUUUGCCUGCACCAUAGACUAAAAAAUCUAUAUGGAUUACUUACAACAAGUCAAUUGUUGUGCAUAUAGAUUUACUUCUUUCUGUAUAUUCUUAUAUUAUUUUUGUCAAUUAUCAUGUAAAAUAUUUAAGGACACAAUAUAUAAAGAAAACAGUCACAUUUUAAGCAAAAAAUAAUUUGCACAAAGCAAUAUCAGCACGCCAAUAUGGGCUUAUAAUUUCCAAAAGUAGUUGCUGUAUCUAAAAAUAAUUAAAUGGCUUCAAUUUUUGCCAAUUCAUCUGUGUUGUUUGGAAUAAAAUGUAUUAAUAUUUAUAUUUAAUGUAGAACAGCAUCGUAAGAGUAUAACGCAUAUUUAAAUAAAGCUAUGUGAUAUUUAGGCUCCCCCUUAACCAUGAUUAUUA